UGGAAGCGCUGCAAGGCGUUGAGCUAACGUGUACUAAUGGCCCGUGAGGCUUGACCCUAUAACACCCAAGGGGU
This 74-nucleotide ribosomal RNA is filed under the name Halomonas sp. RNAcentral's name for it is "partial 23S ribosomal RNA". The record is from RNAcentral. Lineage: Bacteria; Pseudomonadati; Pseudomonadota; Gammaproteobacteria; Oceanospirillales; Halomonadaceae.